GUUGACUCAAUCAGGUAGGAAUAC
Molecule: ribosomal RNA, 24 nt
Filed under: Torulaspora delbrueckii
Lineage: Eukaryota; Fungi; Ascomycota; Saccharomycetes; Saccharomycetales; Saccharomycetaceae
Description: partial 28S ribosomal RNA
Source: RNAcentral